RNAcentral lists this ribosomal RNA (600 nucleotides) under uncultured bacterium. RNAcentral's name for it is "bacterial SSU rRNA". It matches the Rfam family "Bacterial small subunit ribosomal RNA", at positions 100 to 701 of the family's 1533-position model. The record is from RNAcentral.
GUACGGGUGCGGAACACGUGUGCACCUGCUUUUAUUCCUGGGGGGAUACCUUUAAAGGAGGAUUAAUACCCCAUAAUAUGUUGGAUGGCAUCAUUCGACAUUGAAAACUCCGGUGGAUAGAGAUGGGCACGCGCAAGAUUAGAUAGUUGGUGAGGUAACGGCUCACCAAGUCUACGAUCUUUAGGGGGCCUGAGAGGGUGAUCCCCCAACUGGUACUGAGACACGGACCAGACUCCUACGGGAGGCAGCAGUGGGGAAUAUUGGACAAUGGGUGGGAGCCUGAUCCAGCCAUCCCGCGUGGAGGACGACCGCCCUAUGGGUUGUAAACUUCUUUUGUAUCAGGGAUAAACCUACCCUCGUGAGGGUAGCUGAAGGUACUAUACGAAUAAGCACCGGCUAACUCCGUGCCAGCAGCCGCGGUAAUACGGAGGGUGCAAGCGUUAUCCGGAUUUAUUGGGUUUAAAGGGUCCGUAGGCGGAUCUGUAAGUCAGUGGUGAAAUCUCACAGCUUAACUGUGAAACUGCCAUUGAUACUGCAGGUCUUGAGUGUUGUGAAGUAGCUGGAAUAAGUAGUGUAGCGGUGAAAUGCAUAGAUUUUACU